UUUCUCAUCAAUUCUGAUUAUCGUUACAAGUAACAGUAGAAAUGCUCUCAAAUUUAUUCUGUUUUCUAUGUAAAGCAAAGCAGCAUGCUUUUAUUUUGCUUUGGUGGUAGUCACCACUCACCAAGUCAAAUGGGCCAUUCCAUUUAAUAGCCCCCCUAUUGAGGUCUGGAUAUCCUAUGGGGGAGAAUUUUUCUAGAGGGUAGCUUAAGAGAUUUCCUAAAAAUUAGGUGUUUUAGUGAUAUCCAAAGGGGCAGGAACAAUAUCCUAAAGGGGUAGAAAGAUAUCCAUGGGGGUUCCAAAAAUGUAUCCAAUGAGGUUCCAAAAUUUUUAAGGUAUUAUGAAGAGACCCCUCAAUAGGGUGUGUGUGUGGGAGGGGCUAUAUUAGAUGGAAUGGCCCAGUGUGCUGCAACAACUUUUAAAAUUUGUAUAUAUGUUUUUAAGGCACAAUAUGUAAUGGAGUUUGAUAUGAUGAUCAGCACAACCUCAAGGUCUUGACUGAAUGAACAACUUAUCUGAUAUACUCCUAGUUCCAAUACUUUGCUGUAUAUUAUCACCAGCUCAGAUGUCAGUUGGAUCACUUUGAAUGAACAUUGGAGUGGCACAAUAAAGUGUCUGUAUUAGGGAGGAGUCUAUAAGGACUGAAGUAAAAGGCACACUUUUGGAUAUUUGAAUCAUAGCAACUACAUAUAGUGUAGGUUUCAAAUAAAGUUUGAACAAUGUACAACUGAAAAUAAAAAUGUAUUUAAUUUGAAACACUUAAAGGAAUUACAACAUAUUAUAUGAUAGUCAUAUGUACAUGAUUAUAGGUAUAUUCAUUAGUUUUACUAGCUGAUAUUUAUGACCAUCCUGGAUGACAACAUUUAUUUUUCCCAAGAGAUUUUACUUGCAUGAUAGUAAUAAGUUUAAUAGUAACAGAGAAGUGUGAUGGAUAUGUGAAAGUAAUUAUCAUUAGAAAUACAAAUAUUAAACUGUAAUUUUGAC
This 981-nucleotide long non-coding RNA is filed under the name Paramuricea clavata. Lineage: Eukaryota; Metazoa; Cnidaria; Anthozoa; Malacalcyonacea; Plexauridae. The record is from RNAcentral.